This 604-nucleotide ribosomal RNA is filed under the name uncultured Gammaproteobacteria bacterium. Its description in RNAcentral is "bacterial SSU rRNA". It matches the Rfam family "Bacterial small subunit ribosomal RNA", at positions 55 to 648 of the family's 1533-position model. Lineage: Bacteria; Pseudomonadati; Pseudomonadota; Gammaproteobacteria. The record is from RNAcentral.
AUGCAAGUCGAACGGUAACAGGAAGCAGCUUGCUGCUUCGCUGACGAGUGGCGGACGGGUGAGUAAUGUCUGGGGAUCUGCCUGAUGGAGGGGGAUAACUACUGGAAACGGUAGCUAAUACCGCAUAACGUCGCAAGACCAAAGAGGGGGACCUUCGGGCCUCUUGCCAUCAGAUGAACCCAGAUGGGAUUAGCUAGUAGGUGGGGUAACGGCUCACCUAGGCGACGAUCCCUAGCUGGUCUGAGAGGAUGACCAGCCACACCGGAACUGAGACACGGUCCAGACUCCUACGGGAGGCAGCAGUGGGGAAUAUUGCACAAUGGGCGCAAGCCUGAUGCAGCCAUGCCGCGUGUAUGAAGAAGGCCUUCGGGUUGUAAAGUACUUUCAGCGAGGAGGAAGGUGGUGAGUUUAAUACACUCAUCAAUUGACGUUACUCGCAGAAGAAGCACCGGCCAACUCCGUGCCAGCAGCCGCGAUAAUACGGAGGGUGCAAGCGUUAAUCGGAAUUACUGGGCGUAAAGCGCACGCAGGCGGUCUGUCAAGUCGGAUGUGAAAUCCCCGGGCUCAACCUGGGAACUGCAUCCGAAACUGGCAGGCUUGAGUC